RNAcentral lists this small nuclear RNA (303 nucleotides) under Octodon degus (degu). RNAcentral's name for it is "7SK RNA (ENSODEG00000023691.1)". It matches the Rfam family "7SK RNA". From Rfam's summary of the family: 7SK was discovered as an abundant small nuclear RNA in the mid-70s but a possible function has only recently been suggested. Two independent studies have found that 7SK RNA binds the CDK9/cyclin T complex (known as elongation factor P-TEFb). The record is from Rfam by way of RNAcentral. Lineage: Eukaryota; Metazoa; Chordata; Mammalia; Rodentia; Octodontidae.
AGAUGUGAGGGUGAUCUGGCUGCAACAGCUGUCACCCCAUUCAUCGCCAGAGUUGAUUCAGCCGAUCUGGCUGGACAGAUGGGUGUCCUCUUCCUCCCUCAAUGCUCCAUGUGCAUCCUUCCUGAAGCUGCGCACUAAGUUGAAGAGGACAACCAUCCCCGAUAGAGGAGGACCAUUCCUCGGUCAAGGGUGUACAAAUAGCUGCACUCCUCUGCUAAAACCUCCAAACAAACUCUCAAGAAGUAGAAAAGCAGUAGUUAAUAAAAUUGCUAGGAGUUUUCAGUACCUCCCCACAGUUGUCUG